ACGGUCACUGUGCCAUCGCUGCGUUUCCGCAUCUACCACUUGAAUGCAGGAAUCUGUAGUACCGCCAGGACUGGAGACGCAAACUUCAGCCAAGCCAGUGAAGACCUGAGGCCUGUCAACAUCCAUAUGGGAAACAGAUCCUUCCCAGUUGAGCCUUGAGCUAACCGCAGCCACAGAUGACACCUUGAUCGUAGCCUUGUGAGAGACCUGCACCGGAACGACCCAGCUCAGCUGGUGGUUCCUGACCUGCAGCAACUGUAAGGUGACUGAACAGCGUCAAAGAGAUGGGGAGAGAGAGACAUGCUGGCAAAAAGACAGAGUGAGGACGGAGCAAAGCCCCAAUGCUUACGAUGAAGAAAAAGAUGUCAAUAGAGAUGUGAAAAGGAAAGCUUGAAUUAUGAUACUCCUCCGAUCCAGAACGCCAUUGAGAAACCUGGGUUGGUACAGUGGAGGAUAAAAUCAGCCUCAAGGCCACAUAGCCUGAACAAGAUUUCAAGCAUGUGGAACUUCCCCGACCAGGGAUUGAACCUGUGCCCCCUGAAGUGGAAGCGUGGAGUCUUAACCGCUGGACCAUCGAUGAAGUCCCAGAAAAAGUC
Physeter macrocephalus (sperm whale) is the source of this 596-nucleotide long non-coding RNA. RefSeq lists it as uncharacterized. The transcript is spliced from 4 exons. NCBI's taxonomy places the organism in Eukaryota, Metazoa, Chordata, Mammalia, Artiodactyla, Physeteridae. The record is from RefSeq and is a predicted model, not a curated record.